Molecule: long non-coding RNA, 1336 nt
Filed under: Carassius auratus (goldfish)
Lineage: Eukaryota; Metazoa; Chordata; Actinopteri; Cypriniformes; Cyprinidae
Description: lncRNA (ENSCARG00000014147.1)
Source: RNAcentral
CUAAAUCCCAGAAAAAAAAAUGUUUGUACAAAAUAGUUUUGAGUUUGUACAGUCAAAGGUAGACACUGCUAUUUUUUUGAACACACCCCUUUCAACUAAUUGCCCAAUUGCACAGCCUUAAGAGCGUGCAUAUCAUGAAUGCUGGGUCUUGUUUGUUUUCUGACAAUCUACUGAACCUACUGGUAACUUGUUUGCCACGUAGCAAUAAAAAAUAUACUAAAAAUCUUGAUUAUUCUGGUUAGUCACAUUGUACUGCUAUUAUUUUGAACAAUACUGUAGGAUUGGUGGGUGAGCCGGAACCAGCGAAAAAGGAGUCUGGUGCCUUGUCGUGGCUGUGACGUUUCCUCUGGCCGUCUGCUGCAUCAGUGCCCCCAACGUCCAGGAACUAAUCCCCGGUCCUAUGUGGUUUUGACCCUAAUUCACUGCUGGGAGAGAAAACCCUGUGGAGAAGAACGUGCACCGGUGUUGUGAGACGACCGUCUUUUAUAUACAUGCCCGCUCGUGGGUUUGGACCCCUACUCCGCCGAGUGGUGACGUGUCAACAAUAGCAAGUAAGGAACAGUGUGCAUAUUGUGGGGGACGACGACUGAGUGAAGUGUUGGCUGCUAUAUGAACAUCCAGCUGUGUAGCCCUUGUGUAUGAAUACCUGUUUGUGGAGUGCUUUCAGAGGUUCGUCCCUGUCUAGAUCUCUGGUCCGUUGUCUGGAAGAGAGGAGAGGGAAGCGUUCGAGUCAUUCCUGAGUCCUACAGGUCUGAGCUUGAGGCUCUGAGUCGUAGUGGGAGAGUUUCCACGGUUAGAGGUGACCGUGUUGAGUGUUGGUCUGGGAAGUCUGCCCCGGUGAAGAAGACCACAGUUGUCGUGACAUAUACACCUUCUCUAGACUCCCGAGCUGAAAAGGGCUAAAGCCUGACGUCCACCUCUUCGAGGGUCUGGACUGGAAGGGCCCCAACGACGGUUCUCCUGCAGGAAAAACACAAAGGCAUUACUGAGAAAAACCCUGUUGAGUCACGUGAAGGAAAGGACACAAAUUACCUACAGGCUUAACUGAGAGUCCCCGUGACAGAGUCAGAAGCGACUCGGACCUAUACUCUCUGGCCCCGAGAUUGGAUUUUAGAUCACCUUUACACCUUUAAAUUUAAAUAAAGUUGUUUUAAUUAUACUCACUCACUCUCGUGUGUCUGGUCAUUGGGGUGUUCUUGGGACCUCCUCGAGGUGGAAACUAGGGAGGGGCGAGACUCACGACAUCUGUGGUCCGCUCCGACCUGUGACAUACAUGUAAUAUAAAAGUACAUAUGGCAAAGUUUUUGCAACCGCUCCAAGUCUCACCCGCAGUGAG